This 1330-nucleotide ribosomal RNA is filed under the name Papilio xuthus (Asian swallowtail). Its description in RNAcentral is "16S ribosomal RNA". Lineage: Eukaryota; Metazoa; Arthropoda; Insecta; Lepidoptera; Papilionidae. The record is from RNAcentral.
GAGGGGGAAAAAUUAAUAAAAAAAAAAUAAUAAAAAAAUUUUUAAAAAUAUAUUUAAUGGGGGUUAAAGUAUAUAUAUAGAAAAAAUUUUUAAAUUUAUAGUAAAUUAGUAUUGUAAAAGAAUUUUGAAAUACGGGGGUAAUUCAAUAAAAAGUAAAUUUAGUUUGUUGUAUCUUGUGUAUCAGAGUUUAUUAAUAAUUUUUUUUUGGGUAAAAAUUUCUCGAAUUUAAAAGAGUUAAUUAAUUAUAAAAGUUAAUGUGGUAUAAUUAUUUAAAAUAAUUAAUUGGAAAUGAAAUGUUAAUCGUUUUUAAAGAUAUCUAGUUUUUUUAGAAAAAAAUUUAAUUUUAAAUAUUAUAAUUUAAAWUUUUUAUUUUAUAAAAUUUUAUUUAUUAAUAUUAAAUAUUUUAAGGGAUAAGCUUUAAAAUAAAUUUUUAUAAUUAAUUUUAAAUUUAAAAUUAAAAUUUUAAAAUUUAAAUUGUUAAAUAAAUUAUAGUUUUUUAUAAAUAAUUUAAUUUUUAUUAAAAUUUAAAAUAAAAUUUAAUUUUUUAUAAAAAAAUAUAUUUUAAUAUGAUAAAAUUAGAUAUAAUGAUAAAAUUAGUAUAUAAAUUUUAAUAGAAAAAUUAAUUUAUGAUAAGUUAUUUAAAGGAAUUCGGCAAAAUAUUAUAUUCAYUUGUUUAUCAAAAACAUGUCUUUUUGUUAAUAAUUUAAAGUCUAAUCUGCCCACUGAUAAAGUAUUAAAGGGCUGCAGUAUUUUGACUGUACAAAGGUAGCAUAAUCAUUAGUCUCUUAAUUGGUGACUUGUAUGAAAGAUUGGAUGAAAUAUAUACUGUCUCUAUUUAAUUAAUAAAAUUUAAUUUUUUAGUAAAAAAGCUAAAAUAAUUUUAAAAGACGAGAAGACCCUAUAGAGUUUUAUAAUUUAUUUAAUUAUUAUUAAUAUAUUAAUUAUUUAAAUUAAAAUUAAUUAAAUUAUUUUAUUGGGGUGAUAAAAAAAUUAAAUUAACUUUUUUUAAUAUUUUACAUUGAUUUAUGAAUAUUUGAUCCAUUUAUAGUGAUUAAAAGAAAAAAUUACCUUAGGGAUAACAGCGUAAUUUUUUUUUUUAGUUCAAAUAGGAAAAAAAGUUUGCGACCUCGAUGUUGGAUUAAGAUAAAAUUUAAAUGCAAAAGUUUAAAAUUUUGAUCUGUUCGAUCAUUAAAAUCUUACAUGAUCUGAGUUCAAACCGGUGUGAGCCAGGUUGGUUUCUAUCUUUAAAUAUAAUUUAAUAUUUUAGUACGAAAGGAUCAAAUAUUAGAAAUAAUUUUAAAAAUAUACGAAUAUUAUUAAUAAUUUAAUA